This 66-nucleotide transfer RNA is filed under the name Microcondylaea bonellii. RNAcentral's name for it is "Unio bonellii tRNA-Ser". The record is from RNAcentral. Lineage: Eukaryota; Metazoa; Mollusca; Bivalvia; Unionida; Unionidae.
AGAAGAUAAGGCCCAACACCUUUGAUUUGAAACCAAAUAAAGGACGUUCAACUCGUCCAUCUUCUU